CUGGGAUAACUUCGGGAAACCGGAGCUAAUACCGGAUAAUAUUUUGAACCGCAUGGUUCAAAAGUGAAAGACGGUCUUGCUGUCACUUAUAGAUGGAUCCGCGCUGCAUUAGCUAGUUGGUAAGGUAACGGCUUACCAAGGCAACGAUGCAUAGCCGACCUGAGAGGGUGAUCGGCCACACUGGAACUGAGACACGGUCCAGACUCCUACGGGAGGCAGCAGUAGGGAAUCUUCCGCAAUGGGCGAAAGCCUGACGGAGCAACGCCGCGUGAGUGAUGAAGGUCUUCGGAUCGUAAAACUCUGUUAUUAGGGAAGAACAUAUGUGUAAGUAACUGUGCACAUCUUGACGGUACCUAAUCAGAAAGCCACGGCUAACUACGUGCCAGCAGCCGCGGUAAUACGUAGGUGGCAAGCGUUAUCCGGAAUUAUUGGGCGUAAAGCGCGCGUAGGCGGUUUUUUAAGUCUGA
RNAcentral lists this ribosomal RNA (467 nucleotides) under Staphylococcus aureus. Its description in RNAcentral is "bacterial SSU rRNA". It matches the Rfam family "Bacterial small subunit ribosomal RNA", at positions 138 to 592 of the family's 1533-position model. The record is from RNAcentral. Lineage: Bacteria; Bacillati; Bacillota; Bacilli; Caryophanales; Staphylococcaceae.